GGAGCAUCUGUGACGUGUUCCCUCUAGAUUCAUCCUUGCACUUUGAGGUAAGGUUACCACUUCCCAGUGAAGAAAGCAUCGGGGAUAGUUUUCUGAGAUGCUC
This is a small nucleolar RNA of Phragmites australis (common reed), 103 nucleotides long. RefSeq annotates it as small nucleolar RNA snoR26. The transcript has a single exon. NCBI's taxonomy places the organism in Eukaryota, Viridiplantae, Streptophyta, Magnoliopsida, Poales, Poaceae. The record is from RefSeq and is a predicted model, not a curated record.